UACGCGGUGCCUUUUGAGCAUCUUGUCCACGCUCCGCCCCGGUGGGAACGGCCGCGCGCUCCCCGCAGGUGGUCAUCCGCCGCCUGCCUCCGGGCCUCACCAAGGAGCAGCUGGAGGAGCAGCUGCGCCCGCUGCCAGCACACGACUACUUCGAGUUCUUCGCCGCCGACCUGAGUCUUUAUCCUCAUCUCUACUCAAGAGCAUACAUUAAUUUUAGGAAUCCUGAUGACAUCCUUCUUUUUAGAGAUCGUUUUGAUGGAUAUAUCUUCCUUGACAGCAAAGUAGAAUUUCAGAAUGGCUUCUGGAACAUGUUUCCUGUUAAAAGGCCUAGAAUAUCCUGCAGUGGUAGAGUUUGCUCCAUUCCAGAAGAUAGCCAAAAAGAAGCUGAGAAAAAAAGAUGCCAAGACUGGAAGCAUCGAAGAUGAUCCAGAAUAUAAGAAGUUUUUAGAAACCUACUGGGUGGAGGAAGAGAAGACCAGUGCCAACCCUGAGACUCUGCUGGGGGAGAUGGAGGCGAAGACAAGAGAGCUCAUUGCUAGAAGAACCACACCUCUUUUGGAAUAUAUUAAAAAUAGAAAAUUAGAAAAGCAGAGAAUUCGAGAAGAGAAGCGAGAAGAACGGAGGAGGAGAGAGUUAGAAAAGAAACGUUUGCGGGAAGAGGAAAAAAGAAGAAGAAAAGAAGAAAGAUGCAGGAAAAAAGAGACAGAUAAACAGAAGAAAAUUGCAGAGAAAGAAGUGAGGAUUAAGCUUCUUAAGAAACCAGAAAAGGGAGAGGAACCAAUCACAGAGAAACCAAAGGAAAGAGGAGAGGAGAUUGAUACUGGAGGUGGCAAGCAGGAAUCCUGUGCCCCCGGUGCAGUCGUAAAAGCCAGGCCCGUGGAAGGCUCGCUGGAGGAGCCCCAGGAGACGUCACACAGCGGCAGUGAUAAAGAGC
This 934-nucleotide small RNA is filed under the name Pan troglodytes (chimpanzee). RNAcentral describes it as "processed transcript". The record is from RNAcentral. Lineage: Eukaryota; Metazoa; Chordata; Mammalia; Primates; Hominidae.